UGAGUUGUGGUGUAAUUGGCAACACGAAACCUUUUGGUGGCUUUAACAUCAGUUCAAAUCUGAUCAACUCAG
RNAcentral lists this transfer RNA (72 nucleotides) under Hericium erinaceus (lion's mane mushroom). RNAcentral describes it as "tRNA-Gln". It matches the Rfam family "tRNA". Rfam says of the family: Transfer RNA (tRNA) molecules are approximately 80 nucleotides in length. Lineage: Eukaryota; Fungi; Basidiomycota; Agaricomycetes; Russulales; Hericiaceae. RNAcentral also lists the same sequence under 3 other names. The record is from RNAcentral.